This 22-nucleotide non-coding RNA is filed under the name Arabidopsis thaliana (thale cress). RNAcentral also lists the same sequence under 1 other name. Lineage: Eukaryota; Viridiplantae; Streptophyta; Magnoliopsida; Brassicales; Brassicaceae. The record is from RNAcentral.
CUCGGACCAGGCUUCAUUCCCC